This 460-nucleotide ribosomal RNA is filed under the name uncultured bacterium. RNAcentral describes it as "SSU rRNA". It matches the Rfam family "Bacterial small subunit ribosomal RNA", at positions 26 to 518 of the family's 1533-position model. The record is from RNAcentral.
AGAAUCAACGCUGGCGGCGUGCCUAACACAUGCAAGUCGAACGAGAAAGUGGAGCAAUCCAUGAGUACAGUGGCGUACGGGUGAGUAACACGUGACUAACCUACCCUCGAGUGGGGAAUAACCUCGGGAAACCGGGGCUAAUACCGCAUAACAUCUACGGAUCAAAUGCGUAAGCAGCUUGAGGAGGGGGUCGCGGCUGAUUAGCUAGUUGGCGGGGUAAUGGCCCACCAAGGCGGUGAUCAGUAGCCGGCCUGAGAGGGCGCACGGCCACACUGGAACUGAAACACGGUCCAGACUCCUACGGGAGGCAGCAGUGGGGAAUUUUGCGCAAUGGGGGAAACCCUGACGCAGCAACGCCGCGUGGAGGAUGAAGCCCCUUGGGGUGUAAACUCCUUUCGAUCGGGACGAUUAUGACGGUACCGGAUGAAGAAGCACCGGCUAACUCUGCGCCAGCAGCCGC